RNAcentral lists this long non-coding RNA (1469 nucleotides) under Homo sapiens (human). RNAcentral's name for it is "non-protein coding lnc-C10orf95-2:1". Lineage: Eukaryota; Metazoa; Chordata; Mammalia; Primates; Hominidae. The record is from RNAcentral.
AGACGCUGGUAGCUCCUGGCCAGCUCAAGGUGUUUCCUUUUGCCUGGUAACCAGGAGGAGUGGCUGAGGCAGGGCAUGGAGCGGAGCAACGCAGCUACAAAGUGCGGAGAGGAGCCCCGCUCUGGAUCCCGCCGGCUCCCCAAGGCUGAAGGAGACAAGUCUGGAUCCGCAGGAGCCCCCAGUAAGAACAGCAGCCGCCUGGGGGGCCGACCAUGUAUGUGUACAGCUGGCCGCCGCCCAAACAGGGCGUCUGGCCGCCGCCGCCGCAGCUGCUCACCUGCACCUACCUGGCCGCCCCUCUGCUGCUACCCCCAGUCCAGGCCCACAGCUUCCGCAGCCGGCCCGGGAGCCUGCAUGCGGGCGAGUGGGCGGCCCCACGGGAAUACCACCGCUUCUACGGCCCCGCCGCGCCACCCGAGGCCGCGCCGCCCUGGUGGGCCUGCCCUCCGGCCUACGCCACGACCCUGCGCCGGCCCUGCGCCGCCGCCGGCAUCUCGGGACUGUCGCUGCAGGCGCCCGCGGCGGUGGCCGAGAGCUGGGCGCCGUGGCCGGAGGGCGGGAGCCUGCAAACCGAGCUGCGCUGGGGCCGCGUGGAGCGCGCGCGGGGCCCCCCUCUGCAGCUACCGGACUUCGUGCGCCGGGAGCUGCGGCGCGCGUACGGCACCUACCCCCGCGCCGACGUGCGCGUCACCCAGCGCCGCGGCCAGUUCCUGCUGCAGGCGACGCCGCGCGUGCUCGAGCCCGACCACCGCGUGGAGUGGCGCGUGCGGCGCCGGCCCGACAGCGGCGACAGCAGCCCAGCCCGGGAAGCCGCGGAGCGCGGCCGCCCCAGGAAGAGCAAGGGCCUGAGCUGAAGCCGCCGCAAGGCCUAGGGGCGGGCCCGCGUGCACGCGCUUGGCUCUUUCCUGUGUGUGCCGCCGCCGACAGGCAGAAGUGAGCCCUCACCUGUGCGCGGGAGGCGGACGCGCUGCUCACCUGUCUUUUUGGCUUCUCCCAUGACUGCCGGCCAGUUUCCUGCACUUGUUUCUCUCGCUUUAUUGCUGGACGGUGGGAGAAGGGCAAGUGCAAGACGGAAUCGAGGGCACCUCUGGGUGUUCUGUACCUCUUUUCUUCUUGCACCUUGGGAAGUGGAGGACGUGGGAUGGAAGAAGGGCCUGGACCUCCCUCCUUCCUCCUCCCCACCUUCUCCUAAGGAGCUUGCCCUGCAGUAAGCCCCAACUUUCCCUUCCUCUUUUCCCUCUAUCAGAGUCGUCGCCCACCCCCCUUUCCCACCGCUCCCCUACCCCCGCCUUCCUGCCAAGCCGAGGGCGACGGUGAUCCCCAGCUUAGUAAGAAAAGUAAAUAGGCCGGGCGCGGUAGCUCACGCCUGGAAUCCCAGCACUGUGGGAGGCCGAGGCGGGCGGAUCGCUUGAGCCCAGGAGACCAGGUUGGAGACCAGCCUAGGCAACAUGGCGAAACCCUGUCUCUAC